AUAGGCAGCCAUAUUACCCUGCAGCCCAAGACUGGUUGCCCGCUAAGCAGCUAAGCAGGGCUGAGCCUGGUCAGUACCUGGAUGGGAGACCUCCUGGGGAAACUAGGUUGCUGCUGGAA
This 119-nucleotide ribosomal RNA is filed under the name Sinocyclocheilus grahami. Lineage: Eukaryota; Metazoa; Chordata; Actinopteri; Cypriniformes; Cyprinidae. The record is from RNAcentral.